RNAcentral lists this ribosomal RNA (800 nucleotides) under uncultured bacterium. Its description in RNAcentral is "bacterial SSU rRNA". It matches the Rfam family "Bacterial small subunit ribosomal RNA", at positions 8 to 784 of the family's 1533-position model. The record is from RNAcentral.
AGAGUUUGAUCCUGGCUCAGAGCGAACGCUGGCGGCGUGCUUAACACAUGCAAGUCGAGCGGGAAAGCGAUCUUCGGGUCGUGAGUAGAGCGGCGGACGGGUGCGUAAGACGCGGGUGACCUAUCCCUGAGGCGGGGAUAACCCUUCGAAAGAGGGGCUAAUACCGGAUGGGCCCGCGGGCAGAGAUGCCUGUGGGCAAAGGAUGCAUUGUCAUCAGUGCAUGUCUUCAGGGCGGGGCCCACGGCCUAUCAGCUAGUUGGUGUGGUAAUGGCGCACCAAGGCGAAGACGGGUAGCUGGUCUGAGAGGAUGGCCAGCCACACGGGGACUGAGACACGGCCCCGACUCCUACGGGAGGCAGCAGUGGGGAAUAUUGGGCAAUGGGCGCAAGCCUGACCCAGCGACGCCGCGUGGGUGAUGAAGGCCUUCGGGUCGUAAAGCCCUGUCGGGUGGAAAGAACGGUGGGGGGGCAAAGAGCCCCUUCACGUGACGGUACCACCGAAGGAAGCACCGGCCAAUUCCGUGCCAGCAGCCGCGGUAAGACGGAAGGUGCAAGCGUUGCUCGGAAUCACUGGGCGUAAAGGGUGCGUAGGCGGCUUGGUAAGUCGGGUGUGAAAGCCCCGGGCUCAGCCCGGGAAGGGCACUCGAAACUGCCGAGCUGGAGUGCCGGAGGGGAGAGUGGAAUUCCUGGUGUAGCGGUGAAAUGCGUAGAUAUCAGGAGGAAUACCGGUGGCGAAAGCGACUCUCUGGACGGCAACUGACGCUGAGGCACGAAAGCGUGGGGAGCAAACAGGAUUAGGUA